Molecule: ribosomal RNA, 253 nt
Filed under: uncultured bacterium
Lineage: Bacteria
Description: partial 16S ribosomal RNA
Rfam family: Bacterial small subunit ribosomal RNA
Source: RNAcentral
UACGUAGGGGGCAAGCGUUGUCCGGAUUUACUGGGCGUAAAGCGCCUGUAGGCGGCCUGUCAAGUCCGGCCUGAAAGCCCCCCGCUCAACGGGGGAGGGUGGCUGGAAACUGGCAGGCUUGAGGGCGAGAGAGGAGGGUGGAAUUCCUGGUGUAGCGGUGAAAUGCGUAGAUAUCUGGAGGAACACCGGUGGCGAAGGCGGCAUCCUGGACCAAUACUGACACUGAGGAGCGAAAGCCAGGGGAGCAAACGGG